UACGAAGGGGGCUAGGCGUUGCUCGGAAUCACUGGGCGUAAAGCGCACGUAGGCGGAUCUUUAAGUCAGGGGUGAAAUCCCGGAGCUCAACUCCGGAACUGCCUUUGAUACUGGAGAUCUUGAGUCCGGGAGAGGUGAGUGGAACUGCGAGUGUAGAGGUGAAAUGCGUAGAUAUCUGGAGGAACACCGGUGGCGAAGGCGGCGUUCUGGACUGCAACUGACACUGAUGAACGAAAGCCAGGGGAGCAAACGGG
RNAcentral lists this ribosomal RNA (254 nucleotides) under uncultured bacterium. RNAcentral describes it as "partial 16S ribosomal RNA". It matches the Rfam family "Bacterial small subunit ribosomal RNA", at positions 524 to 776 of the family's 1533-position model. The record is from RNAcentral.